This 515-nucleotide transfer RNA is filed under the name Okeania comitata 3L-OSC. RNAcentral describes it as "partial contains 16S ribosomal RNA, 16S-23S ribosomal RNA intergenic spacer, and 23S ribosomal RNA". The stretch from base 226 to 298 matches the Rfam family "tRNA". The record is from RNAcentral. Lineage: Bacteria; Bacillati; Cyanobacteriota; Cyanophyceae; Oscillatoriales; Microcoleaceae.
GGCUGGAUCACCUCCUUUAAAGGGAGACCAGCUAGAGCAGCAGUGAAAAAGUAUUAACUGUUGUAUACUAGACAUCCCUGGUCGAGCAAGGAACAAAGGUAGGAAAUUAACUUUCAAACUAGAGUUAUGGUUCGAUUAUGGGCUAUUAGCUCAGGUGGUUAGAGCGCACCCCUGAUAAGGGUGAGGUCCCUGGUUCAAGUCCAGGAUAGCCCACCUCAAAAAAGCGGGGGUAUAGCUCAGUUGGUAGAGCGCUGCCUUUGCAAGGCAGAAGUCAGCGGUUCGAGUCCGCUUACCUCCAGGAGAAAAGCCAAAUCAAGAACUCAGCAAUCAGACCUAAAAAAAUUAAGUCAGACUGCUGGGAAUCUACAUCCCAGUCAGAACCUAGAAAACUGCAUAGUCAAAGAAGUAAAAAGUAACUGAAAAGGAGUUAGAUGAAAUCAAACAUCUAACAAAGUCCAGUCAGGUAGAUUUUAAGUGGUCAAGUGAAUAAGGGCUGACGGUGGAUACCUAGGCAC